GGCCUCCUAAUUCUCACCACAGGCUGUGUUCUUUACACUGACUGUAUAGAAAUAGGAGGUACAGUAAAUUCACCCCAUAUAAACCUCAACCCAAGCACUUUGCCUGGUCUGUAUUGUGAAUUGGGGGACAAAA
Small nucleolar RNA from Suncus etruscus (white-toothed pygmy shrew), 133 nucleotides. RefSeq annotates it as small nucleolar RNA SNORA51. The record is from RefSeq and is a predicted model, not a curated record. NCBI's taxonomy places the organism in Eukaryota, Metazoa, Chordata, Mammalia, Eulipotyphla, Soricidae. The transcript has a single exon.